Molecule: ribosomal RNA, 346 nt
Filed under: uncultured Bacteroidales bacterium
Lineage: Bacteria; Pseudomonadati; Bacteroidota; Bacteroidia; Bacteroidales
Description: bacterial SSU rRNA
Rfam family: Bacterial small subunit ribosomal RNA
Source: RNAcentral
GCUCAGGAUGAACGCUAGCUACAGGCUUAACACAUGCAAGUCGAGGGGUAGCAGGGUAGCAAUACCGCUGACGACCGGCGCACGGGUGAGUAACACGUAUCCAACCUUCCCAUAACUCGGGGAUAGCCUUUCGAAAGAAAGAUUAAUACCCGAUAGUACUUUAUUAAGGCAUCUUAAGAAAGUUAAAGAUUUAUUGGUUAUGGAUGGGGAUGCGUUCCAUUAGAUAGUUGGUGAGGUAACGGCUCACCAAGUCUUCGAUGGAUAGGGGUUCUGAGAGGAAGGUCCCCCACAUUGGUACUGAGACACGGACCAAACUCCUACGGGAGGCAGCAGUGAGGAAUAUUGG